This 1549-nucleotide ribosomal RNA is filed under the name Diacronema lutheri. RNAcentral describes it as "small subunit ribosomal RNA". It matches the Rfam family "Bacterial small subunit ribosomal RNA". Lineage: Eukaryota; Haptophyta; Pavlovophyceae; Pavlovales; Pavlovaceae. The record is from RNAcentral.
CUUUUCUUGGAUUUGAUUCUGGUCCAGAGUAAACGCUUGAGAUAUGUUGAUACAUGUUAGUUAAACGUGAAUAUUUGGUUUUUAUGCCAACUUUAUUUAAGUAGCGUAUAGGUGAGUAAUAUGCAAGAAUCCUACCUUUUAGUUUAUGUAGCUCGUAAAUUUAUAAAAGAUUUUUUCGCUAAAAGAUGGGCUUGCACAAGAUUAGGUUUUUGGUUUGCUAAAAACGUUCCAAGCCUAAGAUCUUUAGCCGGCUUUCGUGAGUGACCGGCCACAUAGGGACUGAGACAAUGCCCUAGCUCCUUUUCUGGAGGCAUCAGUACAAAGCAUUGGACAAUGAACGAAAGUUUGAUCCAGUAAUAUCUCGUGAAUGAUGAAGGGUUUUUGCUCGUAAAUUUCUUUUAGUUGAAAGAAAAAAGAUAUAUUUCAACAGAAAAAAUCCUGGCAAAUCCUCGUGCCAGCAGCCGCGGUAAUACGAGAAGGGUUAGCGUUACUCGAAAUUAUUGGGCGUAAAGUGCGUGAACAGCUGCUUUUUAAGCUAUAGGCAGAAAAAUCAAGGGUUAAUCUUGUUUUUGUCAUAGUUCUGAUAAGCUUGAGUUUGGAAGAAGAUAAUAGAACAUUUUAUGGAGCGAUGAAAUGCUAUGAUAUAAAAGAGAAUACCAAAAGCGAAGGCAGUUAUCUAGUACAAAACUGACGCCUAUACGCGAAGGCUUAGGUAGCAAAAAGGAUUAGGGACCCUUGUAGUCUAAGCUGUCAACGAUGAACACUCGUUUUUGGAUCACUUUUUUUCAGAAACUAAGCUAACGCGUUAAGUGUUUCGCCUGGGUACUACGGUCGCAAGACUAAAACUUAAAGAAAUUGGCGGGAGUAAAAACAAGCAGUGGAGCGUGUGGUUUAAUUCGAUAGUACACGCAAAUCUUACCAUUACUUGACUCAAACAUUGAAAUGCACUAUGUUUAUGGUGUUGUUUAAGUAUUAUUUUACUUAUAGAUGUGCAGGCGCUGCAUGGUUGUCGUCAGUUCGUGUCGUGAGAUGUUUGGUUAAUUCCCUUAACGAACGUAACCCUCAAAGCAUAUUCAAAACAUUUUGUUUUUUUGUUAAACAGUCGGGGAAACCUGAAUGUAGAGGGGUAGACGUCUAAAUCUUUAUGGCCCUUAUGUAUUUGGGCUACUCAUGCGCUACAAUGGGUGUAUUCUACAAAAAGACGCAAAAACUCUUCAGUUUGAGCAAAACUUGAAAAGCACCCUCUAGUUCGGAUUGAACUCUGGAACUCGAGUUCAUAAAGUUGGAAUUGCUAGUAAUCGUGAGUUAGCGUAUCGCGGUGAAUCGAAAAUUUACUUUGUACAUACCGCCCGUCAAGUACUGAAAAUUUGUAUUGCAAGAAAUUUUUGGAGAAUUUACUUAACUCUUUUUUUUUUUAAGUUGGCUGUAUCAGUCUUUUAAAAACUUUGAGUUAGGUUUUAAGCAUCCGAGGGUAAAAGCAACAUUUUUUAUUGGUAUUAAGUCGUAACAAGGUAGCCCUACGGGAACUUGGGGCUGAGUAAAAUUAGCA